Molecule: ribosomal RNA, 466 nt
Filed under: uncultured bacterium
Lineage: Bacteria
Description: bacterial SSU rRNA
Rfam family: Bacterial small subunit ribosomal RNA
Source: RNAcentral
GAUGAACGCUAGCGACAGGCCUAACACAUGCAAGUCGAGGGGCAGCACGAGGUAGCAAUACUAGGGUGGCGACCGGCGGACGGGUGAGUAACACGUAUGCAACCUGCCCGUAAUCGGGGGAUAACCCGGAGAAAUUCGGACUAACACUCCAUGUAUCUGUAUUAUUGCAUGAUAAAACAGAAAAACGCAAGGAUUACGGAUGGGCAUGCGGAUGAUUAGCUGGUUGGCGGGGUAACGGCCCACCAAGGCGACGAUCAUUAGGGGUUCUGAGAGGAAGGUCCCCCACAUUGGAACUGAGAAACGGUCCAAACUCCUACGGGAGGCAGCAGUGAGGAAUAUUGGUCAAUGGGCGAGAGCCUGAACCAGCCAAGUCGCGUGAAGGAAGAAGGUUUUCGGAUUGUAAACCUCUGUUCUUGGGGAAGAGGAAGAGACGGUACCCAAGGAGGAAGCCCCGGCUAACUACGUG